RNAcentral lists this ribosomal RNA (271 nucleotides) under uncultured prokaryote. RNAcentral's name for it is "partial 16S ribosomal RNA". It matches the Rfam family "Bacterial small subunit ribosomal RNA", at positions 524 to 794 of the family's 1533-position model. The record is from RNAcentral.
UACGUAGGAUCCGAGCGUUAUCCGGAUUUAUUGGGUUUAAAGGGUGCGCAGGCGGGGGAUUAAGUCGGCGGUGAAAUUUUGCAGCUCAACUGUAAAAGUGCCUUCGAAACUGGUUUCCUUGAGUGUGGAUGAAGUAGGCGGAAUUUGUGGUGUAGCGGUGAAAUGCAUAGAUAUCACGAGGAACUCCGAUUGCGCAGGCAGCUUACUAAACCAUAACUGACGCUCAGGCACGAAGGCGUGGGGAUCAAACAGGAUUAGAUACCCUGGUAGU